UGUAUCUGAAGCCUGAAGAGGAUGAGAACCUCCGGGGGCAAGAGGUUCGACCCGAGCGAAGCGAGAGAACGUUGCGUCAGCAACGGCCCGCAGGGCGAGCCACGCAGUGGCGAGUCAUCCUCUAUCACCGGCAG
Molecule: small RNA, 134 nt
Filed under: Salmonella enterica
Lineage: Bacteria; Pseudomonadati; Pseudomonadota; Gammaproteobacteria; Enterobacterales; Enterobacteriaceae
Also listed under: 7 other names
Description: RtT sRNA
Rfam family: RtT RNA
About the family: This family represents a bacterial cis-regulatory element known as RtT RNA. The exact function of RtT is unknown although it is thought that it may be involved in changing the cellular response in relation to amino acid starvation.
Source: RNAcentral